RNAcentral lists this unclassified non-coding RNA (822 nucleotides) under Hevea brasiliensis (rubber tree). The record is from RNAcentral. Lineage: Eukaryota; Viridiplantae; Streptophyta; Magnoliopsida; Malpighiales; Euphorbiaceae.
CAUGCGCAGAAAUUCUUUUCAAAGGUCAGUCAACACCUACUUGCCUGAGUCUCAUAUCAACUUAUAUUUCUAUUUCUAUAUCUCUUGGCAUCAUGAAAUAUGAUGAUCCUGCAAUGGUAUUAAAUUGUUAACUAUUUUUUUUUUAUAUGGUGUAAUUCUAUUGAUGUGUUUAUUUUUCAUUGAUGCUCUCUGCAAGUAAACUGAAUGUGUAUGUUGUUUUCUCAUAUGUCUGAUCUGCAAAAGACACACAGGCGCACAAACUGAGCAUUAAAAGAUUAUUAAGAGCUUGGCUAUGCAGAACACUUUUUGCUUGUAGCCUUUGACGUAAUUUAACUAAUAAUUGUCAACUCAAGCACCCAGGAGAGUAUUUUUAAUCUGAGCAUUUUUUUCCCCUUUCAUAUGUUUGGCCUUUUCACGGUCUUUAUGGUCUUGUAGGUUGCAUCAUAAUCUAUCAAACUGUCUUUGUAAACUUCUUGUUGACAUUAUGGAUGCUCUUAGUUUUGGCACUCAAGUAAGUUGAUCUUGCAGUACUACAAGGACGAUUUCGGCUAAUGACUAAACCUAGAAUUUUGUGCUGUUUAGGAUUGGAACCUGAUACCAAUCAAGGUUCAAAAAUAGCAAGCAAAUUGAAUUUAUGUGCGAUAACUUGUGAAGGUCAGGUCUUCUAGUAGUACUGGUGUCUGUCAUUCAGGCCAACAUGUAAUUGUAUGACCAUGAGCAGCAUGGUUUUAAAUCGCGGUCGCAGUCACAAUCGAGGUCACGGUCGUAGUUAAUGGAAAUGGGCCUGUAACGGCUUGGCGCUACGCAAAUUUUUUUGAAAAA